CCUACGGGUGGCUGCAGUGGGGAAUAUUGCACAAUGGGCGCAAGCCUGAUGCAGCCAUGCCGCGUGUGUGAAGAAGGCCUUCGGGUUGUAAAGCACUUUCAGCGGGGAGGAAGGCGGUGAGGUUAAUAACCUCAUCGAUUGACGUUACCCGCAGAAGAAGCACCGGCUAACUCCGUGCCAGCAGCCGCGGUAAUACGGAGGGUGCAAGCGUUAAUCGGAAUUACUGGGCGUAAAGCGCACGCAGGCGGUCUGUCAAGUCGGAUGUGAAAUCCCCGGGCUCAACCUGGGAACUGCAUUCAAAACUGGCAGGCUAGAGUCUUGUAGAGGGGGGUAGAAUUCCAGGUGUAGCGGUGAAAUGCGUAGAGAUCUGGAGGAAUACCGGUGGCGAAGGCGGCCCCCUGGACAAAGACUGACGCUCAGGUGCGAAAGCGUGGGGAGCAAACAGGAUUAGAUACCCCAGUAGUC
RNAcentral lists this ribosomal RNA (465 nucleotides) under uncultured Klebsiella sp. Its description in RNAcentral is "bacterial SSU rRNA". It matches the Rfam family "Bacterial small subunit ribosomal RNA", at positions 338 to 795 of the family's 1533-position model. The record is from RNAcentral. Lineage: Bacteria; Pseudomonadati; Pseudomonadota; Gammaproteobacteria; Enterobacterales; Enterobacteriaceae.